AGCCCUACGGGGGGCAGCAGUAGGGAAUAUUGCUCAAUGGGGGAAACCCUGAAGCAGCAACGCCGCGUGGAGGAUGAAGGUUUUCGGAUUGUAAACUCCUUUUGUUAGAGAAGAUAAUGACGGUAUCUAACGAAUAAGCACCGGCUAACUCCGUGCCAGCAGCCGCGGUAAUACGGAGGGUGCAAGCGUUACUCGGAAUCACUGGGCGUAAAGAGCGCGUAGGCGGGAUAGCAAGUCAGCGGUCAAAUACGGGGGCUCAACCUGCGUCCGCCGUUGAAACUGGCGUUCUUGAGUGGGCGAGAAGU
RNAcentral lists this ribosomal RNA (305 nucleotides) under uncultured bacterium. Its description in RNAcentral is "bacterial SSU rRNA". It matches the Rfam family "Bacterial small subunit ribosomal RNA", at positions 335 to 658 of the family's 1533-position model. The record is from RNAcentral.